GAUGAACGCUGGCGGCGUGCCUAAUACAUGCAAGUCGAGCGAACGGACGAGAAGCUUGCUUCUCUGAUGUUAGCGGCGGACGGGUGAGUAACACGUGGAUAACCUACCUAUAAGACUGGGAUAACUUCGGGAAACCGUAGCUAAUACCGGAUAAUAUUUUGAACCGCAUGGUUCAAAAGUGAAAGACGGUCUUGCUGUCACUUAUAGAUGGAUCCGCGCUGCAUUAGCUAGUUGGUAAGGUAACGGCUUACCAAGGCAACGAUGCAUAGCCGACCUGAGAGGGUGAUCGGCCACACUGGAACAGAGGAACGGUCCCGACUCCUACAGGGAGCAACAGUAGGGAAUCUUACGGAAUGGGGGAAAGGCUAACGGAGCAAAGCCGCGUGAAUGAUGAAGGACUUCGGAUGGUAAAACUCUGUUAUUAGGGGAGAACAUAUGUGUAAGUAACUGUGCACAUCUUGACGGUACCUAAUCAAAAAGCCACGGCUAACUACGUG
This 497-nucleotide ribosomal RNA is filed under the name uncultured bacterium. Its description in RNAcentral is "partial 16S ribosomal RNA". It matches the Rfam family "Bacterial small subunit ribosomal RNA", at positions 28 to 507 of the family's 1533-position model. The record is from RNAcentral.